Molecule: long non-coding RNA, 1208 nt
Filed under: Arachis ipaensis
Lineage: Eukaryota; Viridiplantae; Streptophyta; Magnoliopsida; Fabales; Fabaceae
Description: long non-coding RNA (AIPA_LNC001216)
Source: RNAcentral
AAAAAGUGUCUACUUUUCAUAAAAAAAAUCAAUCAACAUCUACAUCAACACAGAAAAAAUCAAUUAAGACUCAAAUAAAAAAAAAAAAUCAAAUAACCCCAAAAUCCAUAAGAUAUUAUGUUUAUUAUUUUUGUUUUUCAUAAAAAAAUUUUAAUUAAGACCCAAAUCCAGGGAAUGGCCUGGCCUAGAAACUUAAAUCCAUUAAAGAAAAAAAAAAUAGCUCAUUAUUAUCAUUCAUAAUUAAUAACUAAUCAACUUUACAUCAUUAAAUAUUGGUGAAAUUAAUUCAGUGUAGUGGGAUCCACACUCUCCACCAAGAUCUGCUUUUGUCUUUCACCAUAGCUUUAAUUGCAUUCUCUUUCUAGAUAUUUAUUUUACUAAAAAAAUGACAACAAAUUUCUACACAUAUAAAAUGAAUCUCUCUUCUACAUGAUAAAAUUCACCAUUUAUUAUUUAUUGCUACUUUCACUUUGCACAUUGGCAGAUGACAACACCAAGCUAAGGUCUAUUAUAGUAUUAUUACACUUGAAGGAAAUAGAGAUCACAGCUUCUUGUUUUAUGAACUUUUCUUUACGGUAAUAAUAGUUCACUUGGUUAGAGACUUUUUUCAAUUUUUCUAUAAUAAUAUAAAAUUUAAGAUAAAUUAUUACUUUAAAUUCUCUAAAAUGUUAUCGUAUUUUGGUGACAAACUGAAAGGCAAGAUAUGUAAUAUAAUAAGGUAGCUAGUUGUAUGAGUUGUUAAAAUUGUCGAGGUUGGUCAUGGUUUUAUUUGAGAUAAAAGGGAUGGCCAAUUGGCCACAAAAAGAUUAUGUGUACUAGAUCUGAAUGUGGAAUCCGGGAUAAACUAAAAAAGUAAAAACCUAUUUGAGGACCUUUUGAAUAAAUCAUGAUGUCCAGUCAAAAAAUUCAUAUUAAAAGAAUAAUGAUGAGGAAUGUAUUUGCAUUGCUUAGCUUGAGAUGUGAGACGCAGUUGCUAAGGAAUUGGAACUCUGAGCAGAGAGUUGGAUGCCCAAUCGGAAAAUUGGCUCGGCAGUUCACAAGGUCAGGCCAACUUAUCCAAUUGAAGUGCUCAUCGAUGAAGACAUUAUGGAUGAAACAACAUCCUUGCUCAAUCCCGAAGCAAGUUUAGGCCGUAAUUCUAAUGAAGAUGACGAUAAGCAAGACUGCCAAUUGGUGUAUAAUGAGUGCAAGAUGCAAAGUGGUGCCAC